AACGAACGCUGGCGGCAGGCCUAACACAUGCAAGUCGAGCGCGCCCUUCGGGGUGAGCGGCGGACGGGUGAGUAACGCGUGGGAACGUGCCCUUCUCUGCGGAAUAGCCUCGGGAAACUGAGAGUAAUACCGCAUACGCCCUUUGGGGGAAAGAUUUAUCGGAGAAGGAUCGGCCCGCGUUGGAUUAGGUAGUUGGUGGGGUAAUGGCCCACCAAGCCGACGAUCCAUAGCUGGUUUGAGAGGAUGAUCAGCCACACUGGGACUGAGACACGGCCCAGCCUCCUACGGGAGGCAGCAGUGGGGAAUCUUAGACAAUUGGGGCAACCCUGAUCUAGCCAUGCCGCGUGAGUGAUGAAGGCCUUAGGGUUGUAAAGCUCUUUCAGCUGGGAAGAUAAUGACGGUACCAGCAGAAGAAGCCCCGGCUAACUCCGUG
Molecule: ribosomal RNA, 433 nt
Filed under: uncultured bacterium
Lineage: Bacteria
Description: partial 16S ribosomal RNA
Rfam family: Bacterial small subunit ribosomal RNA
Source: RNAcentral